CGGGAACUACGCUCAACGGCAGAGCGGCAGGGUCGCGCCCUGAGUUGGUGGUUCGAGUCCACCCGUCCCGACCA
This 74-nucleotide transfer RNA is filed under the name Microbacterium sp. R1. RNAcentral's name for it is "tRNA-Ala". It matches the Rfam family "tRNA". From Rfam's summary of the family: Transfer RNA (tRNA) molecules are approximately 80 nucleotides in length. Their secondary structure includes four short double-helical elements and three loops (D, anti-codon, and T loops). The record is from RNAcentral. Lineage: Bacteria; Bacillati; Actinomycetota; Actinomycetes; Micrococcales; Microbacteriaceae. RNAcentral also lists the same sequence under 1 other name.